GUCAAGAGUACGUGAAACCGUUUAGGGGUAAACCUGAGAAACCCGAAAGGUCGAAGGGAGAAAUUCAUUCGCGUCUCGCGGCGGAAGGCGGGCGAACUGCGAUACGACGUAUCCAGUAAUAUGCGCCGUUCCGUUUGCCCCGUCGAGUCCGUCGCGAACGCGUGCACUUUUCUUCUGGUAGGACGUCGCGAUCCGUCGGGUGUCGGUCUACGGUGCGCGGUGGAGCCCGUCUGCACUCGUUGCGGACGGACCCGCGCCAUCCCGGCCGGCUCGCUCGACGGUAUCAUUCAAGGUUCGGGGUCGCUGCUCUAUCGGAGCGUUCGGCUCGCGGCAAGCGCGCCAGUCGCGUCGGCGAUCGGACCCAGUGCCGAUUCCGACCUCUGGUGACUGUUGGCCGCGAAGUUCUCGGACAGACCGUUCGACCGAUCUGCGACGCUAUAGCUU
RNAcentral lists this ribosomal RNA (444 nucleotides) under Phrixosoma sp. BHJ-2007. RNAcentral describes it as "LSU rRNA". The record is from RNAcentral. Lineage: Eukaryota; Metazoa; Arthropoda; Insecta; Coleoptera; Curculionidae.